GCACAACGUAUCUCCCUUCCUGCCCCUAGUCUAAGCUUCACGUUUCAUUUCUUCCACUCGCGGUCUGCCGCUUCCCAGGUCACCUUUCCUUUUGGAGCAAGAUCGCGGGGAGCCUUUGAAAAGGGAAGUUGGGGGGCGCACACAGAGGCCUCGGUUUCCGGCCUGUGAGUGGGAAUGCUGACCUGAUUUUUUUUUCUUUUCUUUCUCCAGGAGUAGCUGAUUCAGAUUAAUCGGUUAGCAGCUGGCGCUUUAUGCUGACUCUGAAAGAGUCUCAUGGAUUCAAGUUUAAAUUGGAGAAGAGGAGAGAGAAGAGACGAGUGACAGGAAGAAGGUGCCAACUCCUCCGCAGACCAUCCGCUGCCCACUCGGGCCUGGAUUCUAGAUCCUCUCUGUGGAAUGUGUGGGGUGCGCCCCCCCCCCCGCCCUCAUGGAAGCUGACCAGCGGGAUCACAGAUGGUGUUGUGCAGGUCCGUGCAGGUGGGAUGCUUACAGAGCCUGGAUUCUUGCGGCAGAGGUAUCGUGAAUGAAACUCAAUGGCGAUUCACUGGACCAAAAUUAAUUUCUAAAUAAUUCAGGCUCUUUUCCAGUGCAUUUUACACCCUUCAGAAACACUUGCUCACUCCUUCUCCCUCCACCUAUGUCCCACCCUCCCAGGCCUGAUCUCUCCCAGCGAGUGGUGGGCUUGUCCGUUGCGCCUCUGGGGCACUACUUCCCUGCACUGUCCAUCC
RNAcentral lists this long non-coding RNA (728 nucleotides) under Sus scrofa (pig). Its description in RNAcentral is "lncRNA (ENSSSCG00070020084.1)". The record is from RNAcentral. Lineage: Eukaryota; Metazoa; Chordata; Mammalia; Artiodactyla; Suidae.